UGCGUAGGUGGUUCGUUAAGUCUGUCGUGAAAGCCCCGGGCUCAACCUGGGAAUGGCGAUGGAUACUGGCGGGCUAGAGUGCGGUAGAGGAGAGUGGAAUUCCCGGUGUAGCAGUGAAAUGCGUAGAGAUCGGGAGGAACAUCAGUUGCGAAGGCGGCUCUCUGGACCAGCACUGACACUGAGGCACGAAAGCGUGGGGAGCAAACAGGAUUAGAUACCCUGGUAGUCCACGCCCUAAACGAUGCGAACUGGACGUUGGGUGCAAUUGAGCAUUCAGUGUCGAAGCUAACGCGUUAAGUUCGCCGCCUGGGGAGUACGGUCGCAAGACUGAA
RNAcentral lists this ribosomal RNA (332 nucleotides) under uncultured Arenimonas sp. Its description in RNAcentral is "bacterial SSU rRNA". It matches the Rfam family "Bacterial small subunit ribosomal RNA", at positions 568 to 898 of the family's 1533-position model. The record is from RNAcentral. Lineage: Bacteria; Pseudomonadati; Pseudomonadota; Gammaproteobacteria; Lysobacterales; Lysobacteraceae.